This 74-nucleotide transfer RNA is filed under the name Strigamia maritima. It matches the Rfam family "tRNA". From Rfam's summary of the family: Transfer RNA (tRNA) molecules are approximately 80 nucleotides in length. Their secondary structure includes four short double-helical elements and three loops (D, anti-codon, and T loops). The record is from Rfam by way of RNAcentral. Lineage: Eukaryota; Metazoa; Arthropoda; Chilopoda; Geophilomorpha; Linotaeniidae.
GGCCUGUUAGCUCAGUUGGUUAGAGCGCUGUGCUAAUAACGUGGAGGUCUUGGGUUCGAUCCCCACGCAGGCCA